Molecule: ribosomal RNA, 438 nt
Filed under: Metschnikowia sp. (in: budding yeasts & allies)
Lineage: Eukaryota; Fungi; Ascomycota; Pichiomycetes; Serinales; Metschnikowiaceae
Description: eukaryotic LSU rRNA
Rfam family: Eukaryotic large subunit ribosomal RNA
Source: RNAcentral
GGGAAUUGUAAUUUGAAGAGAUUUGGGUCCGGCCGGCGGGGGUUAAGUCCACUGGAAAGUGGCGCCACAGAGGGUGACAGCCCCGUGAACCCCUUUAACGCCCUCAUCCCAAAUCUCCAAGAGUCGAGUUGUUUGGGAAUGCAGCUCUAAGUGGGUGGUAAAUUCCAUCUAAAGCUAAAUACCGGCGAGAGACCGAUAGCGAACAAGUACAGUGAUGGAAAGAUGAAAAGCACUUUGAAAAGAGAGUGAAAAAGUACGUGAAAUUGUUGAAAGGGAAGGGCUUGCAAGCAGACACUUAACUGGGCCAGCAUCGGGGCGGCGGGGAGCAAAACCACCGGGGAAUGUACCUUUCGAGGAUUAUAACCCCGGCCCUUACUCCCAUACUGCCCCGAGGCCUGCAAUCUAAGGAUGCUGGCGUAAUGGUUGCAAGUCGCCCGU